Anaerolineaceae bacterium 4572_5.1 is the source of this 56-nucleotide non-coding RNA. NCBI's taxonomy places the organism in Bacteria, Bacillati, Chloroflexota, Anaerolineae, Anaerolineales, Anaerolineaceae. The record is from Rfam.
UGGCUAAUGGCAGAGCGGCUCAUUCGUAAUGAGCAGGUCGUCGGUUCGAAUCCGAC